The sequence is a small nuclear RNA, 132 nucleotides long. Its record names the gene U4. It matches the Rfam family "U4 spliceosomal RNA". From Rfam's summary of the family: U4 small nuclear RNA (U4 snRNA) is a component of the major U2-dependent spliceosome. The structure of U4 snRNA from yeast and human has been reported. U4 snRNA presents a k-turn RNA motif in the 5p-SL related to recognition of Snu13 protein. The record is from Ensembl.
AUCCUUGUGCAGAGGCAAUAUCAUAGUCUAUGAAGUUCUACUGAGACGUGAUCAUUGCUGGUUGAAAACUUUAACACAAUACCCCGCCUGGCUGACUUGGAAUAUAGUCUGCUGGCCUUGGCCUUCCUUGGC